AACGCACCUUGCGCCCCUUGGUAUCCCGAGGGGCAUGCCUGUUUGAGUGUCAUUAAAUUCUCAACUUGACUCUGAAUCUUUCAGAGUCAAGCUUGGACUUGGAGUGUGCCGGCCUCACCAAGGUUGGCUCCUCUUAAAAGCAUUAGCAAAACCUGAUUGGGCUCGAUCAAGCUUUGUUGGCAUUGAUAAUUAACCUGUCUAUGUCAUCGGCUGAAACAAGAGUGCCUUUCAUGCUCUUUUGCUUCCAAUUGUCUGCUUUUUUUCUUUCACAUAAAGCACACUUUGAAACAUCUGACCUCAGAUCAGGUAGGACUACCCGCUGAACUUAA
This 329-nucleotide unclassified non-coding RNA is filed under the name uncultured fungus. RNAcentral describes it as "sequence contains ITS2". The stretch from base 1 to 52 matches the Rfam family "5.8S ribosomal RNA", at positions 103 to 154 of the family's 154-position model. The record is from RNAcentral. Lineage: Eukaryota; Fungi.